GGAUGAACGCUGGCGGCGUGCUUAACACAUGCAAGUCGAACGGACUAGAUGAAACUUAGUGAAUCUAGUUAGUGGCGGACGGGUGAGUAACGCGUGGGCAACCUGCCACAUACUGGGGGAUAACACUUAGAAAUAGGUGCUAAUACCGCAUAAGCGCACGGUACCGCAUGGUAGUGUGUGAAAAACUCCGGUGGUAUAUGAUGGACCCGCGUCUGAUUAGCUAGUUGGUGAGGUAACGGCCCACCAAGGCGACGAUCAGUAGCCGGCCUGAGAGGGUGAACGGCCACAUUGGGACUGAGACACGGCCCAAACUCCUACGGGAGGCAGCAGUGGGGAAUAUUGCACAAUGGGGGAAACCCUGAUGCAGCGACGCCGCGUGAGUGAAGAAGUAUUUCGGUAUGUAAAGCUCUAUCAGCAAGGAAGAAAAUGACGGUACUUGACUAAGAAGCCCCGGCUAACUACGUG
Molecule: ribosomal RNA, 465 nt
Filed under: uncultured bacterium
Lineage: Bacteria
Description: bacterial SSU rRNA
Rfam family: Bacterial small subunit ribosomal RNA
Source: RNAcentral